This 526-nucleotide ribosomal RNA is filed under the name uncultured Pseudomonas sp. RNAcentral's name for it is "bacterial SSU rRNA". It matches the Rfam family "Bacterial small subunit ribosomal RNA", at positions 8 to 523 of the family's 1533-position model. Lineage: Bacteria; Pseudomonadati; Pseudomonadota; Gammaproteobacteria; Pseudomonadales; Pseudomonadaceae. The record is from RNAcentral.
AGAGUUUGAUUAUGGCUCAGAUUGAACGCUGGCGGCAGGCCUAACACAUGCAAGUCGAGCGGUAGCACAGGAGAGCUUGCUCUCCGGGUGACGAGCGGCGGACGGGUGAGUAAUGCCUAGGAAUCUGCCUGGUAGUGGGGGACAACGUUUCGAAAGGAACGCUAAUACCGCAUACGUCCUACGGGAGAAAGCAGGGGACCUUCGGGCCUUGCGCUAUCAGAUGAGCCUAGGUCGGAUUAGCUAGUUGGUGAGGUAAUGGCUCACCAAGGCGACGAUCAGUAGCUGGUCUGAGAGGACGACCAGCCACACUGGAACUGAGACACGGUCCAGACUCCUACGGGAGGCAGCAGUGGGGAAUUUUGGACAAUGGGCGCAAGCCUGAUCCAGCAAUGCCGCGUGAGUGAAGAAGGCCUUCGGGUUGUAAAGCUCUUUUGUCAGGGAAGAAACGGGAGUGGCUAAUAUCCAUUCCUAAUGACGGUACCUGAAGAAUAAGCACCGGCUAACUACGUGCCAGCAGCCGCGGUAA